GAGCGGAUUGAAGGGAGCUUGCUCCCUGAUAUUAGCGGCGGACGGGUGAGUAACACGUGGGCAACCUGCCCUGCAGAUGGGGAUAACUCCGGGAAACCGGGGCUAAUACCGAAUAAUCAGUUCUUCCGCAUGGAAGAACUCUGAAAGACGGUUUCGGCUGUCACUGCAGGAUGGGCCCGCGGCGCAUUAGCUAGUUGGUGGGGUAACGGCCUACCAAGGCGACGAUGCGUAGCCGACCUGAGAGGGUGAUCGGCCACACUGGGACUGAGACACGGCCCAGACUCCUACGGGAGGCAGCAGUAGGGAAUCUUCCACAAUGGACGAAAGUCUGAUGGAGCAACGCCGCGUGAGCGAAGAAGGUUUUCGGAUCGUAAAGCUCUGUUGCGAGGGAAGAACAAGUACGGGAGUAACUGCCCGUACCUUGACGGUACCUCGUCAGAAAGCCACGGCUAACUACGUGCCAACAGCCGCGGUAAUACGUAGGUGGCAAGCGUUGUCCGGAAUUAUUGGGCGUAAAGGUCGCUCACGCUGCCCUUUAAGUCUGAUGUGAAAGCCGACAGGUCUCUUCUGGAGGGUCAUUAUAAACUGGAGUACUCGACCGCUUAAGAGGAACCCCGACUUUUACUUGGAGUGGCGACAUUCGUACAGA
RNAcentral lists this ribosomal RNA (649 nucleotides) under uncultured bacterium. RNAcentral's name for it is "bacterial SSU rRNA". It matches the Rfam family "Bacterial small subunit ribosomal RNA", at positions 64 to 696 of the family's 1533-position model. The record is from RNAcentral.